RNAcentral lists this transfer RNA (65 nucleotides) under Paranemertes cf. peregrina SCS-2010. RNAcentral describes it as "tRNA-Val". Lineage: Eukaryota; Metazoa; Nemertea; Enopla; Monostilifera; Emplectonematidae. The record is from RNAcentral.
CAGAAGAAAGCAUUAUAAUGAUGCAUUUCAUUUACAUGGAAAUGAUGAAAAAUUUUCUCUUUUGA